AUCUGAUAGCAUCCCUUGCUUGAAAAAAGUGAUGUUGCAAUCUAUAUUCCAUAACAUGAAAGUGCUUCUUCAAGGCAAAAAACACAGGAAAUGUUAAAGCUUGCUGCAGUUGCUGCGCAAGAAUCCAUUGAACUACAAAAAGAAGCAGAGGAAUUAGAAAUGAAAAUUAAUUAUUUAAAAAAGACAUUUGAAGAGACUACAGAAGAUGAAAAUAACCCCAAAGUGAUUGAAGGAAAAAAUCAGAAAAGUCUAGAGAAGCCAAAGGAGUUUAAAGAAAGGAUAUUUCAAGAGAGUGAACAUCCAUCUUUGCUAAAUGAGAAACAUCAACUGUAUAAACCAUUACAUGUCCCAUGCAUUCCUCAGAAAUUAGUCCAGUCUGUACAGAGUGUUAGAUUCUCAAUGCAACAAACAGAAACAGGGAGAGAAGAAAGAGAAAAGCCUGUGGAACUUUCAGUGGCCACUAGCAGUUCCUCCAGCCUUGCAGAAAAUUCAUCACAGAUGGUUAUUGACACUGCAGGGACUAAUAACCCACAAAUUGCCCAAGUUCCAUCAAUGGCAAGCUUACAAAACCAAAUGCAGUUCAGGUAAGUUUUCUUUAAUAUGAAGUAGUUUUCAUUCUUGAGAUAGAGGUUUAUGGAAAUAAUCCAUAUUUUGACAAACAGUAAUUUUUGUCUUUUAGACUGGUAAUUCCUCCAAAGCAGAUGACUUCCAAUCAACAGUUUGAGAGUGAAAAUGCAGUAAUAGGUACAGUACUGCUAUAAUUUUUUUUGAUAGAUUGUGCUGUUACUGUACGCUGGAUCACAUAAUUAUAAUAGGGAGAAUUCUAGGGGC
This 831-nucleotide long non-coding RNA is filed under the name Accipiter nisus (Eurasian sparrowhawk). RNAcentral's name for it is "lncRNA (ENSANIG00000002645.1)". Lineage: Eukaryota; Metazoa; Chordata; Aves; Accipitriformes; Accipitridae. The record is from RNAcentral.